UGGGGAAUAUUGCACAAUGGGCGAAAGCCUGAUGCAGCAACGCCGCGUGAGCGAUGAAGGCCUUCGGGUCGUAAAGCUCUGUCCUCAAGGAAGAUAAUGACGGUACUUGAGGAGGAAGCCCCGGCUAACUACGUGCCAGCAGCCGCGGUAAUACGUAGGGGGCUAGCGUUAUCCGGAAUUACUGGGCGUAAAGGGUGCGUAGGUGGUUUCUUAAGUCAGAGGUGAAAGGCUACGGCUCAACCGUAGUAAGCCUUUGAAACUGGGAAACUUGAGUGCAGGAGAGGAGAGUGGAAUUCCUAGUGUAGCGGUGAAAUGCGUAGAUAUUAGGAGGAACACCAGUUGCGAAGGCGGCUCUCUGGACUGUAACUGACACUGAGGCACGAAAGCGUGGGGAGCAAACAGGAUUAGAUACCCGAGUAG
This 420-nucleotide ribosomal RNA is filed under the name uncultured bacterium. Its description in RNAcentral is "bacterial SSU rRNA". It matches the Rfam family "Bacterial small subunit ribosomal RNA", at positions 355 to 793 of the family's 1533-position model. The record is from RNAcentral.